Molecule: long non-coding RNA, 548 nt
Filed under: Vigna radiata
Lineage: Eukaryota; Viridiplantae; Streptophyta; Magnoliopsida; Fabales; Fabaceae
Description: long non-coding RNA (VRAD_LNC005902)
Source: RNAcentral
UUUUUUUUAGAUUUCAAAUACGUUUUAUGAUAGCAUUUGGGUUGUUUAUACUGUUUGACACAUUUUUGCUUCAAUGCUAAUUGAGAAAAGUGUUUGAAACAUCAAAUAAACUCAACCAAAUUUAGCUAAAAGAACUAAAUUCAUUCAUGAGUGCUUCAUCCUACACCUCCAAGGAUUUCAUCCUACACCUCCAAAGAUUUCAUCCUGCACCUCCAAUUUCCUAAAAUGUCCCUAAUUAGUAAAUGAUUUAAAAGUUUAAUUUUUUAUUAUUGAGGAAUUCUAUGCACAACAUUAACUCCACUUCCAUUUUUCUCCAAUCACCUAACAUGUAUUCCUGCUCCACAUCACAUCCCUUCAUCCUUCCACUCCUACACCCUUGUACCCCUGCACCUCAUUUCAUCUUUAUAAAAAAACCCUACACCUCCUACACCUUUGUACCUCAUUUCAUUUUAUAUUAGUUUAAUUUUUUUGACAUUUUAUUUAUGAGUUUAUAAUGUAUUAUAUAAUUUUAUUAUUAUACUUAUUUAUUNAUUUUAUUAGUUUUAAAU